UUUAUGGAGAGUUUGAUCCUGGCUCAGGAUGAACGCUGGCGGCGUGCCUAAUACAUGCAAGUCGAGCGAACGGACGAGAAGCUUGCUUCUCUGAUGUUAGCGGCGGACGGGUGAGUAACACGUGGAUAACCUACCUAUAAGACUGGGAUAACUUCGGGAAACCGGAGCUAAUACCGGAUAAUAUUUUGAACCGCAUGGUUCAAAAGUGAAAGACGGUCUUGCUGUCACUUAUAGAUGGAUCCGCGCUGCAUUAGCUAGUUGGUAAGGUAACGGCUUACCAAGGCAA
RNAcentral lists this ribosomal RNA (286 nucleotides) under Staphylococcus aureus. RNAcentral describes it as "partial 16S ribosomal RNA". It matches the Rfam family "Bacterial small subunit ribosomal RNA", at positions 1 to 276 of the family's 1533-position model. The record is from RNAcentral. Lineage: Bacteria; Bacillati; Bacillota; Bacilli; Caryophanales; Staphylococcaceae.